Molecule: transfer RNA, 73 nt
Filed under: Deltaproteobacteria bacterium RBG_16_71_12
Lineage: Bacteria; Deltaproteobacteria
Also listed under: 1 other name
Description: tRNA-Glu
Rfam family: tRNA
About the family: Transfer RNA (tRNA) molecules are approximately 80 nucleotides in length. Their secondary structure includes four short double-helical elements and three loops (D, anti-codon, and T loops).
Source: RNAcentral
GUCCCCAUCGUCUAGAGGCCCAGGACAUCGCCCUUUCACGGCGGUGACGGGGGUUCGAAUCCCCCUGGGGACG